UCGCAGCCCGACUUGAGUGGAGCUCUUUUUCUUUUUUUGCGAAAAAAGAAAAAAGCGGGAACGGAAGGCGGAUUAAGC
RNAcentral lists this small RNA (78 nucleotides) under Epilithonimonas arachidiradicis. RNAcentral describes it as "Chryseobacterium arachidiradicis Flavo-1 RNA". The record is from RNAcentral. Lineage: Bacteria; Pseudomonadati; Bacteroidota; Flavobacteriia; Flavobacteriales; Weeksellaceae.